UUUGAUCAUGGCUCAGUAUUGAACGCUGGCGGCAGGCUUAACACAUGCAAGUCGAGCGGAAACGAAGGUAGCUUGCUACCAGGCGUCGAGCGGCGGACGGGUGAGUAAUGCUUAGGAAUCUACCGAGUAGUGGGGGAUAGCCAUUGGAAACGAUGAUUAAUACCGCAUAUAUCCUACGGGGGAAAGCAGGGGACCUUCGGGCCUUGCGCUAUUCGAUGAGCCUGAGUGAGAUUAGCUAGUUGGUGGGGUAAAGGCCUACCAAGGCGACGAUCUCUAGCUGGUCUGAGAGGAUGAUCAGCCACACUGGGACUGAGACACGGCCCAGACUCCUACGGGAGGCAGCAGUGGGGAAUAUUGCACAAUGGACGAAAGUCUGAUGCAGCCAUGCCGCGUGUGUGAAGAAGGCCUUCGGGUUGUAAAGCACUUUCAGCGAGGAGGAAAGGUCAGUAAGUAAUAUUUGCUGGCUGUGACGUUACUCGCAGAAGAAGCACCGGCUAAUUUAGUGCCAGCAGCCGCGGUAAUACUAAAGGUGCAAGCGUUAAUCGGAAUUACUGGGCGUAAAGCGCGCGUAGGUGGUUUGUUAAGUUGGAUGUGAAAGCCCAGGGCUCAACCUUGGAACUGCAUUCAAAACUGACUCACUAGAGUACGAGAGAGGUUAGUGGAAUUUCCUGUGUAGCGGUGAAAUGCGUAGAGAUGGGAAGGAACACCAGUGGCGAAGGCGACUGACUGGCUCGAU
RNAcentral lists this ribosomal RNA (736 nucleotides) under uncultured bacterium. RNAcentral's name for it is "bacterial SSU rRNA". It matches the Rfam family "Bacterial small subunit ribosomal RNA", at positions 12 to 738 of the family's 1533-position model. The record is from RNAcentral.